Schizosaccharomyces pombe (fission yeast) is the source of this 294-nucleotide non-coding RNA. Lineage: Eukaryota; Fungi; Ascomycota; Schizosaccharomycetes; Schizosaccharomycetales; Schizosaccharomycetaceae. The record is from the annotation of a GenBank genome assembly.
UAUUGCUAUAAUUUAGCAGACCCAUGACAAGAAGGGAGGUUAAUCGAAAGGAAAACUCUGUGAGCUUAGAAAAUUGCAAGCAACUUAAGCGUGGCCAACAGGGUAAUUGUCACCACCAAAUUUUCUGCUCAAACAGAAAACCUUCCGUACAUAUAGAAAACACUCAAAAGUCAUCUUUGCGAAGCUAAGGGCUACUAUUUUAAAAGCGAUUCUCAAUCAAAUUCUACUUACUUCUACAGCGUGUUAUUCGGACACAAUUAACGAUUCUCUUAUUUAAGUAUCAAACCUAUCCCA